UUUAGUUUAAUUUACUAUUGUCACGUGCAUCAAGGUACAAUAAAAAGCUUUUGUUUGUGUGAUAUCCAAUCAAAGACUGUCAUGAUUACAAUCAAGCCGUUGACAGUGUACAGAUAAAGGAUAAAGGGUUUCACAUUUAGUGCAAGACAAAGUCCAAUAACGUCCGAUCAAAGAGUUCCAGGGUCUCCAAUGAGAUAGAUGGGAGAUCAGAACCGCACUCUAGCUAAUGAGACGACCAUUCAGUUGUCUGAUUACAGCCCCAGCCUCUGAUUACAGAAACUGUCCCUGAAUCUGGAGGUAUACUUUUUCAAACAUCUGUACCUAUCGCCUGAUGGGAGAGGGGAGAAGAGGUAGUGAGACUCAGCCUAGGUGAGACUCAUCCUUGAUCAUGUAAGUGGCCUUGCCGAAGCAUCGUGAAGUGUAAAUGGAGUCAAUGGAAGAAGGUUGGUUUGCGUGAUGGUCUGGGCUGUGAAAAGAAAAAUAAGUUACGAUGAAUAACAGGGUGAAAGCAGGCUGGGAAAAGAGUGAACCGGUGAAUAAGAGUGUAUACAAGGACUUUAUAUCUGUAGGUCACAUAAACCUGCGCAAAAUGCUACUACAUAAUUUUAGCAUCUUCGAGAAUGUAGAGGGUUAAUUCCAGGCUAUAAAUAAUCUGAUGCUUUGGUGAAUUAAGGAUGCGGACUCAAGUGCUGUACUUUAAAGGCGUGGAAAAGCUCAAACAGCAUUUGGGGAGAUUGUGGAAAUUUGUAAUCUCUCAACAUCAGGGGAUACAGCAUUUAGAUAUUGCAGGAAUCUAUAAUUGUUGUGCACUUGUCCUUACACCAAGGAGAUCCGAAGUAUGCAAAAAGUUUAGAAAUUAUGUAUGCGAUGGGGCCAGUGUUAAAAUGGGUAAAAGAUGGAGAACUGCAGAAUAAGAGCAGGAUAAUGUGGCAAGCUGCUACCCUUUCCAAUUAGGUACAAUUUGUAUAGCCUUAACCAAGAAUCAGUUAAUAUUACAGAUUUAGAUCAUUUAAACCUCAAAAUGACAAGGUAUAAUAUUUAAGUAUCGACUUACGUAAACAGUGAAAACAUUAAACAUUAAUUAUACCCAAGUUAGCAAUAAAAUUCUGGCUUUGUUCAUGGCAAUUAGAGCUCUCAAUAAUUUUGUUUCAUUCCUUUUGAGUUUUAUCUUAUUUGCAAAUGAUUGCUGUUAUUCCUGCAUAGAAUUUAAUGAUAAAGUAGUCUGUUUCUAUUCAACUUCUUCCACCCUUUCAUAUUCUUAAUACAUCUUUCACAUUGAAACAAAACAGUGUAUAGGGCAAUGUGUUGGAAGUCUGAAAAAUACAGACUUCAUACACUUUUAUCAUAUAUACACUUCAUAUCAGGUAGCAUCUUAAUGCAUCUGUACUAUACUUUCUCCUAAACCUCAAAAUCCUUCUUAAAUUGUGCAGAAGCUUAUUGCCCACAGUACCCUGAGGCUUUGCUGAUAAUUUAUGUAUUUUUAAUAUUCUACACCUUGUGUGGUUAUAUUUAAAAGUGCAACACUCUUUGUUUUUUAAGUUUUCAACAUUCAAAUUGCUCUCUUUAAUAUCAAUUAAGUCUUUCUACUGUCGCAAGCACCCAUCUGAAAAUAAUUUCUGGUUUACUUAAAAUAUAAAUGCAUUUAUAAAUACAACUAAAUGGCAUAUUACACUUCCAUCUGCAAUUUCUUAGCAAUUCCAUUAUCUCAGUGAUAUCUACUUACAGCUUCCCCUAGUUUGUAAAUAAUUAACUAUCCCCUUUAUUUUGAUUUUAUCACAAAAUUGGUUGAAUUGGUUGCCUAUGGUUGAAUAUAGUCUAAAGAAGUGAUCAUGUCAGACAUCACAGCUCACUUCAAAUCACAGAAAGAUAUCGGCAGUUUUGUUUCCAGUUAAUUUGUAAUGUGCUCAUCCAUCCUUCACACUAAUUCUUCAUGGUAAACUCCUGUGCGCCAAAAUAAUUUCUUAGAAUGCACGCGUACUUCACCAUCUUUUCAAAGAAUCUCUGAGACGGCCACCAAGUGAUAUUUUUGAAACAUGCAGAUAAAUCUUUUUUUUCUCCAGGUAAAUUCUCCUUGCCACAAACAAUACAUAAGGCAGUGUUUAAGAAGGAACUGCAGAUGCUGGAAAAUCGAAGGUACACAAAAAAGCUAGAGAAACUCAGCGGGUGCGGCAGCAUCUAUGGAGCGAUGGAAAUAGGCAACGUUUCAGGCCGAAACCCUUCUUCAGACGUUAAAGACGUUCAUACAUAAAGCAUAUUGGUUUGUUCUCCAAGUCUGUUUUUAGAAAAAAGUGGCAUCCAGAGACGUGAAUAGGCGAGAGAUACAGUGCUAACACAGGCAAAUGGGACGAGCAUAGAAAGGGAAAAAAAGGCCAACAUGAACACAGUGGGUUGAAGGGCCUGUUUCUGUGAUGUGCAACGCUGUGACUGAACUCGCAUUCAGUGCUGAUAGCUGGAUCUGAAGCAUGUUUGGUCAUCUCUAGACUGAAGGCAACUCCUCUUGGCACACAACAAAAGUUUUUCACUGUACCUCGGUACACGUAACAAUAAACCAAAUUGAACUGAACUGUUUCAUCAGGACUCCAUGAACAUACACAGAUGUGGAAGGCAAUACAACAGAACGAGGGCUAGCCCUCUAUACACAAUCAAAGUGAAACAUUUCUACUGAUGUCUUCUCAUAAAAGCAUAAAUUGUUGGGAAUACUCAAUGCAGCAUGCAUAGAGAAUGAAAUUGAGAUAACAUUUCAGAUUAAUAACCCUUUACUUCAUCAGCACUGAUUGCCAUAUAACCAUUACAGUCAAUGCAAACCAUUUUAAACCAAAGUACAAUGUUAAUUGUUUACUUCAAAUCUCUAUUCCAAUUGUAAAUCUAUCAGGAUUCUAACUAUAUACUUUUUAAUCUUUUACUUGUGUAUGAGUUGAUUGUAUUAAUGCAGUGUAUGAUUUAAUUUGACUGGAAGGCAGCAAACAAAACCUCUUCACUGUAUAUCAAUAGAUAUGACAAUAAAUAAAUCAAUCCAAUAAAUUAACAAACUAACCAUUUAUUGGAACAUUAACAAUUAAUCGUUUUAUCAUCCCUCCAACAGAAGACAGAAGGUGUGAAUAUGAUUAUUUUAUUCAUCUCAUGCUUGCUGGGAAAAUUCUGGCUCGCCAAAAAAAUAAAAGCUGCACAGGUAUGAGAAGUUGGGAAUUCUCAACACAGACAAAACUUGUCUGUUUUAGCUUGAGUAGCAUUACACAUCAGAUGAACUAUUUAUUAACUAUCAUAUCAAUUUGUAAAUACGAUGUUUUCAAAUUCCAAAAUUAUGGGAACUCACAACCACUGAUUCACCACUAAGACAAGGAAAACUACAUGUUCACAAAAAAAACAACCACCAAAUUUAGAAGAUUUCAAUAUCCUUUGACAAAGCCAUUUACUUCUAACCAUUAAUCACGGGGUGCCCAACAGUGAUACAAAAAUUGCAACUUAAUGACUAAAUUGUGAUACCAACCAAAGAUUAUAGAGGCCUUGCAUAUUAGUAUUCUCCACAUUGAUCUCAGUGUUCUCCAUGAGUUCUCCAUGAUGAAAACAUUUGCAAAGUACAUCCUCAGACUCCUCGCACAAAUCUAUCCUUUAUUCUCUGAGGUUAUCCUCUUGGUUUUAAUAUUGGUUUGAAAAGCUUUAGGAUUUUCAUUAAUCUGACGCACCAAAGCUAUUUUGUGGCCCAUUAAUCAUCUGCUUCACUUCUUUUCUUCCCUUUCUUUAUAUUCCUGUCUGUUUCCAACCCCUUUAACCUACAAGUGCUCCCUUUUUCUUUUAGACUAUUAAAUCCUCUUUGGUCAUCCAAGGUUUCCUUACUUUGCCAUCCUUAUUCUUCCUCCCUAAUGGAAAUUCCGAUCCUGAACACCCAUCAGCCGGCCAUUAAACAACUUCCACAUGUCAGAUACGGACAUACCCAAUAACAAUUGCUCCCAGUUUACCCUCCCGAGCUCCUACCUCAUAACAUUGUAAUUUGGUUACUCCAAUUUAGCACCUUCCCACAAGAUUCAGUCUUCUCCUUAUCAAAGCAAUCUUAAAUCUUCGCGAGUGGAAACACGGAACUGCAGAUGCUGGUUUACACAAAAGAACACAACAUGCAGGUGUAAUUCAGUGGGUCAGGCUUUAUCUCUGGAGAACACGGAUACUAUACUCCAUGUACACUCAUGAUUGUGCAGCCAAAUACCAACCCAACUCAAUUAACAAGCUCACAGACGAUACCACCAUAGUUGGCAGGAUAUGAAAUAAUGAUGAGAUGGAGUAUAGGAAAAAUAUUAGGUACAUCGUAACCUGAUGCAGCUGGGUGCUCAGGAUUAUUCGAGGAUAUGACAGUGACAUAGAUAAGAGUUACAGUGAGGUGGUCAUUCCUAAGGUACAAGCAGGAAGUAGAUGGGUGACCACCAGGAAAAGGAUUAGGCAGAAAGUGCAGGAAUCCCCAAGAGCCAUUCCCCUCAACGACCUCCCUAGAUGUCAGCAAGAAAAAGGAGAAUGUGACUGACUUCAGGAAGCGAAGCAAUACACACACCCCAGAAUGUAUUGAUGGAGCCAAAGUAGAGAUGGUCGAUAUCUUCAAGUUCUUAGGAAUAAAUAUCACCAGCAAUUUGUCCGGGACCAGCCACAUUGAAGCUGUGGCCAAGAAAACACACAAACGCCUCUACUCCUUGAGAAGACUUAGGAAGUGUGGCAUGUUCCCAACAACCCUCGCCAACAUCUACAGAUGCGCCAUAGAAAGCAUUUUAUUGGGAUGCACCACUGUCUGGUAUAGGAUCUGCUCCAUCCAAGACCGCAAGAAAUUGCAGAGAGUUGUGGAUGUAGCCCAGAUUAGCAGGCAAACCAACCUUCUUUCUGUUGACUCUAUCUACACUUCACGCUGCCUCGGCAAGGCCACCAGCCUUGGACCGGUCUUACCCCGGUCACUCGCUCUUCCCCCCUCUCCUGUUAGGCAAGAGUUACAAAGGUUCGGAAAUGCAAAUCUCGAGAUUCAGGGACAGUUUCUUCCCAGCUGGUAUCAGGCAACUGAAGCCUGUCACCAGCUAGAGUGCGGUCAUGACCUCCCAUCUACCUCAUUGGAGACCUUGAACUAUCUUUAAUUGGACUUUAUCAGCCAUUAUCUUGCAUUAAAUUUUGUAUCCUUUAUCUGUACACUGUGAACGGCCUGAUUGCAAUCAUGUAUACAGAUGCUCCCCAAUUUACGAUGCUUUGACACGAUAUUUCGACUUGUGGUGCAAACGCUCGGCAACGGCGACGAGUCGCAGCUCACUUCCGGUCACGUGAUCAAAUUGUAUUAAAUGCGUU
This is a long non-coding RNA of Leucoraja erinaceus (little skate), 5307 nucleotides long. RefSeq lists it as uncharacterized. NCBI's taxonomy places the organism in Eukaryota, Metazoa, Chordata, Chondrichthyes, Rajiformes, Rajidae. The record is from RefSeq and is a predicted model, not a curated record. The transcript is spliced from 5 exons.